GCAAACUUGGUCAUUUAGAGGAAGUAAAAGUCGUAACAAGGUCUCCGUUGGUGAACCAGCGGAGGGAUCAUUAUAGAGUUUUCUAAACUCCCAACCCAUGUGAACUUACCUUUUGUUGCCUCGGCAGAAGUUAUAGGUCUUCUUAUAGCUGCUGCCGGUGGACCAUUAAACUCUUGUUAUUUUAUGUAAUCUGAGCGUCUUAUUUUAAUAAGUCAAAACUUUCAACAACGGAUCUCUUGGUUCUGGCAUCGAUGAAGAACGCAGC
Molecule: unclassified non-coding RNA, 265 nt
Filed under: uncultured fungus
Lineage: Eukaryota; Fungi
Description: partial contains small subunit ribosomal RNA, internal transcribed spacer 1, and 5.8S ribosomal RNA
Rfam family: Eukaryotic small subunit ribosomal RNA (bases 1-73)
Source: RNAcentral